UUCUAUAUAAUUUCGCACUUGAUAAUUGGUUUUUAAACAAGCACAUCAUAAAGUUCUAAAGAUAAGACACUUGACAUUAUCAAUAUGAGACAAGUGUUUCUAUGCUAACAGAGAGACAACACAAAACAACCAAAUUCCUCAAGAAGCAUCCCUCUUGGGGAAACACAUCACGAGAAGAUCACAAGGAAUAUUGAUACAUUGACUGGAAGAAGACAUGGCCUAAAAACAAAAAUUUACAAAAGAACCAAGAAGCCAAAAUAAUAUUUUCAACAAGCUUUGCAGUCAGUUAGCCAGAAGCAAGGAUGCAACAUUGAAACUACGAGCAAAGAACCUCUAUUAUACUCAAAUUCGAGGAGGCCACCAUUUUAAAGUAAGAUGCUUAGUUAAUCCAACCGAGUCUACUGAUACCAUUGGAAUUCCAGUAACAGUCUGUUGAUCCACAUUUUAGUCUAUCAGUAACAGGAAUGUCUUCUCACUUAUUUUCCGACUUAAGUUGUCCCCCAAGUAAAAUAAGUCCCACCAUUGCAAAAGCAGCUAAAACGGUUGAUGAAUAGGACAUCACAAGCAGAGAUGCUCGCAGAGACUUAGCAAGCAAUAAAGCAUUGUCAUUUGCAUACUGUAAUGAGCUCUCCGGUAUGCUCUGUAUGCCUUGGCCCAAUUCCCAAGAAAGAAAACUAAAGAUGAAUGCAAUGGCAGCUCCAGUGUAGGCCUUUCCAGAGGUCAAUUCAACCUGAAGAUCCCCAAACUUGAACAUCCUGGUUUGCUGCUUAAAUUCUUCAACAUCAACCCCAGAUACUGGACUUGCAGACAACAACUUUCCAGUCUUUAUCAUAACUUUAGCAAUCUUCUGCACUUCACCUUCGCCAUAUUGUCCCAUGGACUGGAACCUUUUUCCAGCUGAUAACAAGCGCCUUCCAAAUGCUGAUUUUUGAGAGCCUGUCAAUGAGCCAACCAAUAAAGGCAGCUUGUCCACUAAAGCUGUGGACGUUGAUGUAUCAGCCAUUUCCCAUGCUCGACUUAUAUUUAACAAUGUCUCUCCAACCUCUUCACCACACUCAACUUUAACUGGCCCAUUUGAAAGAUCAAAUGCUGCAUCAUUCAGAUCUGAGCGAAGAUCACUGGGAAGCUGCGAAAAAAAGUCUGCAGGUAGAACAAAACUCUCAGCGAUUUCCUGUACAAGUGUUUGAGGGUUUGGUUCAAGAGAUUUGGGGGAAUCAGAUUCAGUAACAGCAAACGGUACUGUUGUACGUGUAUGAAAUUUGAGGAAAUUCUUGCGAAAUGAUGGAAGGAUGGAGAUGAUAUGAUGUGGGUGUUUGCCAAAACGAAGAGUAGGAGUAGAAAAGAGACAAUAGAUAGACGAGUGUUGAUGAAGUGAGAUAGAGGAAGCCAUUGAAGCACAAGAGAAGAGAAUUACUAGUAUUAUUUUUUGACAACUGGAGUUGGGCGAGAGCCAUAUUUUUG
RNAcentral lists this unclassified non-coding RNA (1461 nucleotides) under Hevea brasiliensis (rubber tree). Lineage: Eukaryota; Viridiplantae; Streptophyta; Magnoliopsida; Malpighiales; Euphorbiaceae. The record is from RNAcentral.